AACUCUCAGCAAUGAAUAUCUUGGCUCUCAUAUCGAUGAAGAACAUAGCAAAAUAUGAUACUUAGAGCGAAUUGCAGAAUCCUAUAAACCAUCGAGUCUUUGAAUGCAAGUUACGCCCAAAGCCAUUAGGUCGAGGGCCUGUCUGCCUAGGCGUCA
Molecule: ribosomal RNA, 156 nt
Organism: Capsicum annuum
Lineage: Eukaryota; Viridiplantae; Streptophyta; Magnoliopsida; Solanales; Solanaceae
Product: 5.8S ribosomal RNA
Exons: 1
Source: RefSeq, a predicted model, not a curated record